This 492-nucleotide ribosomal RNA is filed under the name Vermamoeba vermiformis. RNAcentral describes it as "partial 18S ribosomal RNA". It matches the Rfam family "Eukaryotic small subunit ribosomal RNA", at positions 729 to 1151 of the family's 1831-position model. The record is from RNAcentral. Lineage: Eukaryota; Tubulinea; Echinamoebida; Vermamoebidae.
GUCUUUAGUGGUCCGCCCCUUCGGGGAGCGGGUCACUGGCCUCCUAUGUUCCUAACGGUCCUCAUCCGCGAGGGUGGGGAAUCAACCGCUAGGAUCGUUUACUUUGAGGAAAUUAGAGUGUUCAAAGCAGGCGUAACUCGCCUCCGAAUACGUUAGCAUGGGAUAAURGAAUAGGACUUCGGUCUWKUUUCGUUGGUUUCGCUUGGCYGAAGUAAUGAUUGAUAGGGACRGUYGGGGGCAUUAGUAUUUAAUUGUCAGAGGUGAAAUUCUMGGAUUUAGKAAAGACUGACYWMWGCGAAAGCAUUUGCCAAGGAUGUUUUCAUUAAUCAAGAACGAAAGUUAGGGGAUCGAAGACGAUCAGAUACCGUCGUAGUCUUAACCGAUAAACGAUGCCGACCAGGGAUCGGGAGACGUUACCUCGAUGACUCUCCCGGCACCUUGCGGGAAACCACAAGUCUUUGGGUUCCGGGGGGAGUAUGGUCGCAAGGCUGA